RNAcentral lists this non-coding RNA (182 nucleotides) under Verrucomicrobiota bacterium. RNAcentral's name for it is "Verrucomicrobia bacterium 6S RNA". It matches the Rfam family "6S / SsrS RNA". From Rfam's summary of the family: E. coli 6S RNA was the first non coding RNA to be sequenced, but its function was unknown until recently. Lineage: Bacteria; Pseudomonadati; Verrucomicrobiota. The record is from RNAcentral.
UUUACCCUGCCUUUGCUCGUGAUCAGAAACAAAGUCCUUGAACCGUAAUAAAACAACUAAGGAGCCCUGGCCAUAGAUGGUGGCCGACAGGCCUUAACUGGAAGUCGAAAGCCGUCGGGCGGGUUCCACCUGUUUCGAGACAGUUCAGAGGAACUGUUACACACGGCAUGGGUGGGGUUUUU